This 253-nucleotide ribosomal RNA is filed under the name uncultured bacterium. RNAcentral's name for it is "partial 16S ribosomal RNA". It matches the Rfam family "Bacterial small subunit ribosomal RNA", at positions 524 to 776 of the family's 1533-position model. The record is from RNAcentral.
UACGUAGGGUGCAAGCGUUGUCCGGAAUCACUGGGCGUAAAGGGCGCGUAGGUGGCGGAGCGAGUCAACGGUGAAAGCUCGACGCUCAACGUCGAGUCGGCCGUCGAUACUGCUUUGCUUGAGCACUGUAGAGGCUAAUGGAAUUCCGGGUGUAGCGGUGGAAUGCGUAGAGAUCCGGAAGAACACCGGUGGCGAAGGCGGUUAGCUGGGCAGUUGCUGACACUGAGGCGCGACAGCGUGGGGAGCAAACAGG